Molecule: unclassified non-coding RNA, 345 nt
Filed under: soil metagenome
Description: partial contains 5.8S ribosomal RNA, internal transcribed spacer 2, and large subunit ribosomal RNA
Rfam family: 5.8S ribosomal RNA (bases 1-120)
Source: RNAcentral
GAUGAAGAACGUAGCGAAAUGCGAUAAGUAAUGUGAAUUGCAGAAUUCAGUGAAUCAUCAAGUCUUUGAACGCACAUUGCGCCCCCUGGUAUUCCGGGGGGCAUGCCUGUCCGAGCGUCAUUGCUGCCCUCAAGCACGGCUUGUGUGUUGGGCCUCCGUCCUCCUCCCGGGGGACGGGCCCGAAAGGCAGCGGCGGCACCGCGUCCGGUCCUCGAGCGUAUGGGGCUUCGUCACCCGCUCUUGUAGGCCCGGCCGGCGCUUGCCGACACAUCAAUCUUUUUUCCAGGUUGACCUCGGAUCAGGUAGGGAUACCCGCUGAACUUAAGCAUAUCAAUAAGCGGAGGA